This 2296-nucleotide long non-coding RNA is filed under the name Sus scrofa (pig). RNAcentral's name for it is "lncRNA (ENSSSCG00055013501.1)". Lineage: Eukaryota; Metazoa; Chordata; Mammalia; Artiodactyla; Suidae. The record is from RNAcentral.
ACAGCUUAACCUCAGCCUCCCUGCGUGUUUCAGUGCUUCAGGCUCUGCUCCAAGAACCUGGUACAAGGAUGACGUGAGGGACUUGGCAGCAUCCUGGAUUUGGUAUCCGUGAAGGAUGACUGUGUGGAUUUAUAUUAAAUCCCCUUGGGGUUUGUUACAGCCAGUAACUCUGUGAAGCUGGCUCUCUUAUUGGCAGCAAAUUUAAAAAUGGGAGGAGCCUCCUCAACUCUGUCUAUGAUGUUGGGUCAGCGUGUUCGCCAAUUUGGUGAGAAACUGGUCCGAAGGCGGCCACUGGAGCCGAGGAACGAGUCUGAGAUUCCCACACCUCAUCUCAACAGCUUCGACCUAGUGGUCUUUGGUGUGAACAGAACCCUGAGGGCUGGUGUGUACAUCCUAGCUGGUGCCGUGGCUGUGUAUGUAACUGGGCCUGCGAUCAUUAUCUCCUUCUUGGUGGCUGGCUUAUUUGCCCUGUUGUCUGGAUUCUACUUUGCUGAGUUUGGGGCCCGGGUACCCUGCUGUGGUUCUGUGUAUCUCUACAGCUAUGUAACAAUGGGACAACUGCAUGCCUUCAUCACUGGCUGGAACAUCAUACUGCAUUUUGUUCUUGCCACCGCCUACUUGACCAGGGCCUGGAGCUACACCUUUGACAGCCUGAUUGGGAACCACAUCUCGCAGGUGUUAGAGGGAACGUUCUCUGAGCAUAUGCCCUCGUUCCUGGCCCCAUACCCAGACUUUGUUGCGCUGGCCCUGGUGCUGCUGAUGGCUGGGCUACUGAUUCUGGGCGUUCAUGUGACAGCUCGUGUUACCAAAGUGUCCACAGGUAUCAAUGCUUUGGUUCUCAGCUUCAUCAUCAUCUCUGGCUUCAUUAAGGGAGACCUGCACAACUGGCAGCUCACAGAACAGGACUACAAACUGGCCGCAUCUGGAUCCUCUGACAGCUAUAGCCUGGGCCCUCUGGGUUCUGGAGGGUUUGUGCCCUUUGGCUUUGAAGGGAUUCUCCAAGGAGCAGCAAUGCCUUUCUACUCAUUCUUUGGUCUCAAUGCUAUUGUCACUACAGGGAAAGAAACCCCCAACCCUCAGCGUUCCAUCCCUUGGAGCAUAGGGAUCUUCAUCUCCAUCUGCUUUUUGGCCUAUUCUGGUGUCUCAGCAGCUCUCACCCUCAUGGUGCCCUACUACCAGAUUCAUCCUUACAACCCCUUGCCGCAGGCUUUCCACCAUGUUGGGUGGGCUCCUGCCGGAUACUUCGUGGCUGUUGUCAUCCUGUGUGCUCUUUUUUACAGCCUCCUGGUUGUCAUGUUGACCAUGUCUCGGUUGAUUUGUGCAAUGGCAGAGGAUGGGCUCCUUUUCCGGGGACUUGGCAAAAUCUACGCCCGAAGAGGCACCCCCAUCGUGGCCAUCCUGGUUUCUGCAAUUCUUUCAGGGAUCAUGGCAGUACUUUUCGAGAUCCAUCAUCUUGUGGAACUCCUGUCAGUUGGGGUCUUGCUUGCUUACUUCCUAGUGGCUUUUUCUGUCCUGGUCCUCAGGUACCAGCCAGACCAGAGCUUCAGCAAGAAGGAGAAAGUAGAGGAGGAAACUGAGAUGGAGCCUAUAGUUGAAGGAAAUCCUUCACCAUCUGUACCUGAAGCAGGAACCUCAAACCCUCUAAAGAGUCUGUGUAACCCUAUCAGCACCACCCCGACUCUGAAAUCUGGCCAGAUUGUCUAUGGAUGUGCCUUCCUGCUGGUUCUCCUGCUGACCAUCCUGAGCCUGCUUCUGGCCCUGUGGCCCAGCCGCGUGUUUUCUGGAGACCCCGGGUUCACAGCAGGGGCUGUGCUGCUGCUGCUGCUCAUUAUGUGGAUCACUGUCAUCAUUUGGAGGCAGCCCCAGAACCCCUCUCCUCUUCACUUUAGGGUACUUUCUUUGCCUGUCUUCCCACUGAUCAGCAUCUUUGUGAACAUUUACUUGAUAAUACAGAUGACUACUGGGACUUGGGCCCAAUUUGGCAUCUGGAAUGCUGUUGGAUUUGCCAUAUACUUUGGAUAUGGGAUCCGACACAGCUUGGAGGAGAAGAGUGAUCAAAACCCACCAGCUUCCAACUUCCAUACUUUUGAUGAACACACCUCUAGUGCUAAAUCCUGUUAACUCCAGCAAAUAGAUGCUGUGUGGUCCUCUCCAAAAGGGGAAAUGUAUUCUGGUUCAAGGGACUUUUUGAGCCUCUAUGGAGUGUGACAUUGGGAUGCAUGUAGAGCCUUCUAUUUAUUGCCACUGGACAGGAUGACUUUUAUGUAUAAUUUAAAGUAAACUUUUAAAAGUAUAA